This 440-nucleotide ribosomal RNA is filed under the name uncultured bacterium. RNAcentral describes it as "partial 16S ribosomal RNA". It matches the Rfam family "Bacterial small subunit ribosomal RNA", at positions 338 to 795 of the family's 1533-position model. The record is from RNAcentral.
CCUACGGGUGGCAGCAGUGGGGAAUAUUGGACAAUGGGGGAAACCCUGAUCCAGCGACGCCGCGUGAGUGAAGAAGUAUUUCGGUACGUAAAGCUCUAUCAGCAGGAAAGAAAAUGACGGUACCUGACUAAGAUGCCCCGGCUAACUACGUGCCAGCAGCCGCCGUCAUACGUAGGGGGCAAGCGUUAUGCGGAUUUAUGGGGUGAAAAGGGAGCGUAGACGGUAGCGCAAGUCUGGAGUGAAAUGCCGGGGAUCAACCCCGGAACUGCUCUGGAAACUGUGGAGCUGGAGUGCAGGAGAGGUGAGCGGAAUUCCAGGUGGAGCGGUGAAAUGCGUAGAUAUAAGGAGGAACACCGGCGGCGAAGGCGGCUUACUGGACUGUAACUGACGUUGAGGCUCGAAGGCAUGGGGAGCAAACAGGAUUAGAUACCCCAGUAGUC